GGGGUUAUGGCUCAGUGGUAGAGCACUUGCCUUGCACAGGCAAGGCCCUGAGUUCGAUUCUCAGCACCA
Molecule: transfer RNA, 69 nt
Filed under: Urocitellus parryii (Arctic ground squirrel)
Lineage: Eukaryota; Metazoa; Chordata; Mammalia; Rodentia; Sciuridae
Also listed under: 2 other names
Description: Spermophilus parryii (Arctic ground squirrel) tRNA
Rfam family: tRNA
About the family: Transfer RNA (tRNA) molecules are approximately 80 nucleotides in length. Their secondary structure includes four short double-helical elements and three loops (D, anti-codon, and T loops).
Source: Rfam by way of RNAcentral